ACUGCAGACUGAAGAAGAGAGACCAAACCACUGAGCAGACAUACAACACAUUUCCACCAUGACUUCAGCUACAUGUAUAAUGUUUCUGAUGCUAUCAUGGAUUUCUGGUGUUUGCAGUCAGACUCUGACUGAGUCUGAACCAGUGGUAAAGCGCCCUGGAGAAUCCCACAAACUCACCUGUACAUAUGCAGGAAUAUCAGAUAGCAGCGCAGAUAUCUCCUGGAUCAGACAAGCUGAAGGAAAAGGACUGGAGUGGGUUGCUUACAUUUCCGCUUUGAGUGGAAGCACUAAAGCUUAUUCCACGUCAGUCAAGAAUCGCUUCACCAUUUCCAGAGACAACAACGUGGACCAGGUGUAUCUGCAGAUGAACAGCUUGACGGCUGAAGAUUCUGCUGUUUAUUAUUGUGCUCGAGAGCCACAGUGACACAGGAAGCCACAGAGCUGUACAAAAACUCAACAUGUCAAACUAAGUCAAUACUAGGCGUUCUGCUUUUCACUUUCACAGAAUCAGCUUCAGUUCAACAUCUUCAACACACUCAGAGAAACACAGUCUCAAUAAAACCUCCUCAUUCAGACAAUUUUUAUUGCAGCUCUGGUGUUACAG
Molecule: non-coding RNA, 604 nt
Organism: Epinephelus fuscoguttatus (brown-marbled grouper)
Lineage: Eukaryota; Metazoa; Chordata; Actinopteri; Perciformes; Serranidae
Source: the annotation of a RefSeq genome assembly